Molecule: long non-coding RNA, 475 nt
Organism: Dreissena polymorpha
Lineage: Eukaryota; Metazoa; Mollusca; Bivalvia; Myida; Dreissenidae
Exons: 2
Source: RefSeq, a predicted model, not a curated record
AACCAGGUUUUCCGAAGGAAAAAACUGGUUAUUAGAUUGGCGAAUGCGGGCGGGCUGGCUGGCUGGCUGGCGGGCUGGCUGGCUGGCGGGCUGGCGGGCUGGCGGAAUAAGCUUGUCCGGGCCAUAACUAUGUCGUUCAUUGUCAGAUUUUAAAAUCAUUUGGCACAUUUGUUCACCAUCAUUGGACGGUGUGUCACGCGAAAUAAUUACGUCGAUAUCUCCAAGGUCAAGGUCACACUUUGAGUUCAAAGGUCAAAAAUGGCCAUAAAUGAGCUUGUCCUGGCCAUAACUAUGUCAUUCAUUGUGAGAUUUUAAAAUCAUUUGGCACAUUUGUUCACCAUCAUGGGACGGUGUGUCGCACGAAAGAAUCACGUCAAUAUCUCCAAUGUCAAGGUCGCCACGACUAAAAAUAGAUUUAAAAAAAAAAAAAAACUUACAAAGGGGGUUAAUUUUUUUUGGUCAUUUCAAAAGUUCA